This 502-nucleotide ribosomal RNA is filed under the name uncultured bacterium. RNAcentral describes it as "bacterial SSU rRNA". It matches the Rfam family "Bacterial small subunit ribosomal RNA", at positions 335 to 832 of the family's 1533-position model. The record is from RNAcentral.
ACUCCUACGGGAGGCAGCAGUGGGAUAUGCACAAUGGCGCAAGCCUGAUGCAGCCAUGCCGCGUGUGUGAAGAAGGCCUUCGGGUUGUAAAAGCACUUUCAGUCGUGAGGAAGGUGGUGUUGUUAAUAGCAGCAUCAUUUGACGUUAGCGACAGAAGAAGCACCGGCUAACUCCGUGCCAGCAGCCGCGGUAAUACGGAGGGUGCGAGCGUUAAUCGGAAUUACUGGGCGUAAAGCGCAUGCAGGUGGUUUGUUAAGUCAGAUGUGAAAGCCCGGGGCUUAACCUCGGAAUUGCAUUUGAAACUGGCAGGCUAGAGUCUUGUAGAGGGGGGUAGAAUUUCAGGUGUAGCGGUGAAAUGCGUAGAGAUCUGAAGGAAUACCAGUGGCGAAGGCGGCCCCCUGGACAAAGACUGACGCUCAGAUGCGAAAGCGUGGGGAGCAAACAGGAUUAGAUACCCUGGUAGGUGACAAUAUUCCCCACUGCUGCCUCCCGUAGGAGUGUG